Molecule: long non-coding RNA, 4772 nt
Filed under: Homo sapiens (human)
Lineage: Eukaryota; Metazoa; Chordata; Mammalia; Primates; Hominidae
Description: HSALNT0241514
Source: RNAcentral
GUUCCAGUGGAUGAUGUUUCGCAGGCACCGGAUGCUCCUGGUGCAGCAGGGCGGGUGGAUGAUGGGAGCGAUAGGAGAGAGAGGAUGAGGGGUAGGCCACCUCCAUCACCCCAGCCCAGAUGUGUAGAUGAGGAAACUGAGGCACAGGGUGGGGCUGACUGGCCAAGUCACACAGGGAGGUGACAGCCAGGCUCUCCUAAUGCCCCAUGGAGCCCUUCCUGCCUGCAGCCCACCCAGACAUAAGCCCCAGGCAGAGCCUGGCACUCCAUGGAGCCUGUGCUCCAUGGACCAGGGCAGCUGGAUUCCUGGCGAUGCCCGCUUCCCCUGGGGGUGCCUUCUACUCCCUGCCAUUCCAGGAUGGACAGUCACAGGGGUCAGCCCUGCUCCCAGCCUCCAGCCCUGAUGCUCGGCUCCUGAUCCCAACCAUCCCCAUCCCCGGCUCUGCCACCUGCAUCCUUGGCGGUAGUGCUGGGGCCCAGGUACCUUCGAACCUGAAAUGGGGCACCACUCCAUGGAGCCCCCACCUCCAGGGCUCCAUCUGCCUGGUCACCCCAAUGGGUGCAGCCUGGCCUGGGUAUGGGUGACAUAAGACAAGUUUUGUCCCUCCCCACCAUUCCAGCAGCUACUGGGGAGAGGGCAGAGCGGCUCUGCCAGAGGUUCCCAGAGACCUGAGACUCUCAGAUAAGCCAGCCCCUGCCACCCUCUCCCAGCAACCCCCACCCCAACCUAGAGCUGCUCCUCUCACUUCUCCACCCUGCUUCUGCUCUAGGUCCUGGGGACAGGAGGAGGCAGUGCUGGGGUCUUCUCACCUGAGCCGCAGAAAGAGGACAAAGGCCACCAGGAGGGCCACCAGGGAGAUACAGUGGCCCAGGUAGUUGAUGAUGACUGCGACAUGGUAGUGCACCUUGCUUUUUUUCUGGAGCAGGAGAGAGGGGCAGAGAGCCACCAAGGAGCUACUGGCCACCAAGGAGCUACUCCAUAGGCCUUCCUGUUGGAAUUACAGAACCCACUUGAAACCAGAGAUCAAGUCCAGCCCUAUCCACCAGGCAUCCCAGGAGAAGCCAAGACCCUAUGCCCAGUUCCGCCCGGCCACCAAGGCCCUUCUGAAGGAGCACCCUCAUUGGGGAACCUCUCCAGAGGCUGCUACAGAAGCUCUGUUCUUGGAGCUGGUUUCCAGGCAGAGGCUUUCUGGAACAUGGCAGCUGCCCUUGGAGACUGCUCCUCUCAUCCCAGUUCUUUCCGUAGAAGAGACUGAAUAAUUGGCCACGCCACGCAGCCGGUAUCUGGAACCUGGGUCUGCCUGGCUUUAAGCUCCCUCUUUUCCCUGUUUCCCAGGGACAUUUCUUUUUUUGGGUGGGGGAGGGAUGGAGUCUCACUCUGUCGCCCAGUCUGGAGUGGUGCAGUGGCAGGAUCUCAGCUCACUGCAGCCUCUGCUUCCUGGGUUCAAGUGAUUCUCCUGCCUCAGCCUCCCGAGUAGCUGGGAUCACAGGCAUGCACCACCAUGCCCAGCUAAUAUUUUGUAUUUUUUGGUAGAGAUGGGGUUUUGCCAUGUUGCCCAGGCUGGUCUCGAACUCCUGAGCUCAGGCAAUCCACCUGUCUCGGCCUCCCAAAGUGCUGGGAUUACAGGCGUGAGCCACCGUGUCCGGCCCCCUGCGACAUUUCUUGGGGGACAAGCAGGAAUUGAAAGCAGAGGCACUCUCUGGGGUGGUCUCACGCCACUUUGGGCCCAGGAGCCUCGGGGGACCUCCUGCUGGGACAAUAGCGCCCAAGAGGGCUUUCCUCCAAGAGCCUGAGGGAGAAUCAGGCCAAACCAUUCCCGGGGGACAAAGUCUCAGUGUGCCUCCCUGAGCAGUCGGGCCUGGGCCGGGUUCAAGCCCUGUCUCUCAUCGGCCACAUCAGCAUCAUGCAACCUGAGAAGACAGCUGGAGAGACAGCCUGAGGGAUGGCUGCUGAUACCCUGAGACAAAUACAUCCUGCGACACCCAGACAGAAGCCAGUGACACUGUGACAUUUCCAAUAACAACCAGAGUUCUGGCCAGCAUUAUUUAGAGAGACAGCAAGGCCUUAAGAGGCACCCAGGAACACCCUGAGAGGUGGCCAGUGAUACCUGGAGAGGAGAGUCAGCAGCACCCCCAGGGACAGCCAGUGACACCCCGACCGAUGGCCACGAUAACAGCAAAGCAGCUGGGAUGUCCGAAGGACAAAUGGGCACAGCUACCCCUCGGGCCCUGACCAGCACUCCAUCUCCAUCCAGUCUGGAGACCUAAGACCAGCAGGCACCCCGCCCUAAGGAGGGUGGCACAGCGUGGUACUUGGCAGAGGCCACUCCGCUGUACCCUCAGUGAUCUGAAUUGAAUAAGCAAUUUGUGCCCGGCUGACUCUGACUGGACUCUCUGCAGGACACCACCUCGUCCCAGGCGCUGCAGUGCCAGAUCCGUCCUGAUGCCUCUCUGGGUUGGUGGCAAUGAGACCUCCCUUCCAAGCUCCCCACUGGUGCCCACUCCAUUCUGGCACGUCCUCUCCACCGAGGCUUCCAGAGCUACUCCUCUUACCCUGCAGUGGGCACUCACUCCAGCCCCUCGAUCCUCAAAGGGUGGCCCCUGGCCCAGCAACAGCACGCAGAGGAGCACGCAGAGAUCUUGAGGAAAGUGGAAUGUAUGCCCUACGCCAGGCCCAUGGAAUCGGAGCUUGGUUUUAGGAAAAAGCACCUCUGCAGUUCAGAAGCCCUGGUCCAACCACCACUCACCUCUCCCCACACGGUGAGCAGUGAACCUUGGUCCACAAACCAGACCCCCAGAAUCCGUUUCAUGUCCCACCACGGUGUGCUCUCCCAGGCUGUGCCUGAGGCCCAGGCUCCUGUGCGCAGCAGAACGUGGGGAAAGGGGAUAGAGUGUGUGCAAGUGUUGGGUGGGUGGGGGAAGGCUGGACGGUGGGGAAGGGAGUGAACAGUAGUAGCGGGAGGUGGUGGGGGGAGGAGAGGGUGCUGAUACAGGCAGCAGGUGUAGGGGUGGUGCUGGGGGCUCAGUGCCAUCCCCCGGCCAGCCAUGCAUGCAACAGUUGGGGGCCUGUCCCCUGGUGGUGCUGGCUGCGGGCAGAUCUCCUGGGGUGCCUGGCCUUGAGGUGCCCUUGCAAGUCCCAUUUCACAGGCAGACUUCUGCGAAUCCAUUAUCUGCGAUACCCCAGGGCGCUGGAGCUUAAUUAGGGCUUAGCCCAGGCCCAGAGCUGAGAAACCUACCACUCAAUUAAUUGGAUACUUUCCUCUGCAGUUCUGGGAGGGGUCUGGCGAGGCUGGGGGCUGGCAGAAGGGAAUGGCAUUUUCACUAAUUAAACUAAUCGAUUACCCAGAGUGCUAGGCACCAGGCCAGCAGGGGCUGCAGAGGAAAGAGAUGGCAGAGCCAGGCACGGAUGGGCUGGGGGGUGGGGCGGGUCACUCCCCCAGGUGUACACUACAACCUCCCCUGACCUCACAGGGGAGAUGAGAGACAGGGGGCGGCAGGUGAAUGGAACGUCUCCCAUAGGCCAAGACAGGCCAACACCACCCUUCCAUCCCCAGAAGGCAGAGAUCUGAAUUCCUGGCCACCAUUUUUGGGAACUUGGUGAGGUUAAGUUGCCUCCUCAAGGUCAUGCAGCAGGUUCCCGUUGAAACCCAAACCCUAAGGUCCGUGCUAUUCCCACUGCAAUGCAAAGAGGGGGCUGAUGAGACCGGGCUCCCGAUCCUCUUCCUUGUCCUAACCCUGCUGGUGGACAGAGGUAGAGACCCCUGUCCUGGCAGGGUUGGGUGUUGCAGGGCAGGCUGAGGGUGGCUAACCUACUGCCCUUAGGCCUUUGAAGGGUGCUGGGGAAAAUGGGGGCUGCCGAGUGUCCCCAUCAGCCAACUGAAAAGAAGGGGCUUGCAAUAGAGCAGGAGAGACAGGUGAACCACGAAGACCCCGCGCUGACCCUCAGGAGGGUUGAGUGCAGGGCGUGAAGCUGGGACAGACAGUGCGGCCUGCAGCCUGACCUCAUGGCUUAGCUGUGCCUCCUGGACACCAUCCCUCUCUGCAAUGGCGUGUGGUCCUGAGUCACUGACAGCACUGACCCGCUCCUCUGAGCACCAGCCCUGUUUCCUUUCCUCCCACCUCCUCUACUGUGUGCCAGGCUACGGGCUCCUCACAUCCCUGAACGGUCUUGCCCACUCCCACCCCACCAGCCAAGGCCAAGGCCAUCUCCUCUGGCCCAACUAAGUCUCCUAACCUGGAACCCCACCUCCUUCCCCCAGUCCAGGAGGAGCCCUCCUCCCAAUCCCAGGACUUCCCAGGUGGGCUCUCUGUGUGGGGGCUUAGCAAGCUGAGGGCUUUCCCUGCUCAGAUCAGAUCAUCAGGGAGCCUGACCAACCCACCCCAGCCUUGAGUGCCACCCAAAGGUCUGGCCUGUGGGAUCUGAGAUGCCAGGCAGCCCCUCGCCCUGCCAGAGCAGCACCGUGGAAGAACUCGUGAGUCUUUUAAGCUAGGCAUUGACCUAGCUGCAGCUUCCGGAAGGAGACAGCAGAGCCCCGCAUUAGCUCAGUGACUUGAGGCCAGGAAGCCAGGGGUGGGGCUAACCAAAGCUUGCCAGGCCGGGGUGGGAGCUACAGGUGAAGGAAAGUGAUUCUUUCUCCGUUAACUUUGUUUCACGCCAGAUACCUGGCAGUGGGCAAAGCAGAGCCUGGGCUGCAGAGCCUGUGCUCCGGAGCCUGGGCUCCAAAGCCCUGGGUUCCGGGCUCUGACUUAACUGCCAAAAAUACAAAAAUUAGC